Oreochromis aureus is the source of this 510-nucleotide long non-coding RNA. NCBI's taxonomy places the organism in Eukaryota, Metazoa, Chordata, Actinopteri, Cichliformes, Cichlidae. The record is from Ensembl.
AAAAUGUUUAAAAAUAAAGAAGUCUUGAGAACAAAUGAUCUGCCAGAUGAUUCUGUUUCUCCACAGGAGCAGAGUCUGAAGUCUGGAGAUUGGAUUUUGAUAAGGCCAUGGAGAGGAAGUGCUGGUCCAGUCCACGGUGGUCCCUAUCGGGUGAUGCUGACGACGACCAUAGCAGUGAAGAUUGCUGAAAGGAUUACUUGGAUAUGUGACAGGGGGCUUUCGCGCGCUCUCCUCACUGCAAUAAACCACUGCAUGAGAGACGCAAGUCAUAAUCACUCUCGUGAUUCUUUUCCCCCUGUUUUCAGGGGUGUAACAUUUGGAGGCACCGCUGGGAUCGCUGCUUAGAUGUCCGGUGUCCACAAUCUGCACAUCGUAGUCCAAGCCAGCCAAAUCCCCCCAUACAACCCAGGCAGACUGCAGUGAGGAAAGUGUUGCUGUCGAGGCGAACUGGUAGCUGUGUUUUAGCGCAUGUUUCCUGAGGCCAGCCAGAGAUCAUCAGGGGCUGCAAAA